GAAUAUUGCACAAUGGGGGAAACCCUGAUGCAGCCAUGCCGCGUGAAUGAAGAAGGCCUUCGGGUUGUAAAGUUCUUUCGGUGAUGAGGAAGGCGUUGUAUUUAAUAGAUGCAACGAUUGACGUUAGCCACAGAAGAAGCACCGGCUAACUCCGUGCCAGCAGCCGCGGUAAUACGGAGGGUGCGAGCGUUAAUCGGAAUGACUGGGCGUAAAGGGCACGCAGGCGGAUAGUUAAGUGAGAUGUGAAAGCCCCGG
Molecule: ribosomal RNA, 255 nt
Filed under: Ursidibacter maritimus
Lineage: Bacteria; Pseudomonadati; Pseudomonadota; Gammaproteobacteria; Pasteurellales; Pasteurellaceae
Description: partial 16S ribosomal RNA
Rfam family: Bacterial small subunit ribosomal RNA
Source: RNAcentral